UACGUAGGGUGCAAGCGUUAAUCGGAAUUAUUGGGCGUAAAGAGCUCGUAGGCGGUCUGUCGCGUCGGUCGUGAAAACUUGGGGCUUAACCCUGAGCUUGCGGUCGAUACGGGCAUGACUGGAGUUCGGCAGGGGAGACUGGAAUUCCUGGUGUAGCGGUGAAAUGCGCAGAUAUCAGGAGGAACACCGGUGGCGAAGGCGGGUCUCUGGGCCGAUACUGACGCUGAGGAGCGAAAGCGUGGGGAGCGAACAGG
RNAcentral lists this ribosomal RNA (254 nucleotides) under uncultured bacterium. RNAcentral's name for it is "partial 16S ribosomal RNA". It matches the Rfam family "Bacterial small subunit ribosomal RNA", at positions 524 to 776 of the family's 1533-position model. The record is from RNAcentral.